GGCCGCAGUAUUUUAACUGUGCAAAGGUAGCAUAAUCAUUAGUUUUUUAAUUGAAAGCUGGAAUGAAUGGUUGGACGAAAUAUUAACUGUUUCAUAAAAAUUUUUAAUAAAAUUUUAUUUUUUAGUCAAAAAGCUAAAAUAUUUUUAAAAGACGAGAAGACCCUAUAAAUCUUUAUAUUUAUUUUUAUGAUAAAUUUUUAUAAAUUUUUAUUUAUUAUUAUUUUAAAUAUUUUAUUGGGGUGAUAUUAAAAUUUAAAAAACUUUUAUUAUUUUUUUUUACAUUAAUUUAUGAAUUAUUGAUCCAUUAUUAGUGAUUAAAAAAUUAAGUUACUUUAGGGAUAACAGCGUAAUUUUUUUGGAAAGUUCAUAUUGAUAAAAAAGAUUGCGACCUCGAUGUUGGAUU
This 403-nucleotide ribosomal RNA is filed under the name Blondelia nigripes. RNAcentral describes it as "partial 16S rRNA". Lineage: Eukaryota; Metazoa; Arthropoda; Insecta; Diptera; Tachinidae. The record is from RNAcentral.